CGCUUUUCUUCCCUUUCUUCUCAAUCUCACUUUAAGGUUUAGGGCUGAACCACCACCGUCGAGCCAUCUACCAUCGAGCCUUCAUGCUCAAUCGUCCCUCGUGCUUACCACCGCCACGCCGUCCAUUGUUACACUGUCCCAGACCUUCGAAGAUCUGUUAUCCACGUUGCACCGUCCGAGAUGUUCGGAAAUCUACCGAACACCAAUCUGGCAACCUCUUCGUCAUCCAAUGGAAAAUAUAAACCCUAACCUUCGCGUGACAGCGGCGAACCCACUGGAACAGCAAACGGACACGUCAGAGAAAUGCCGCCAAGUACUUCUUCGAAAUUGUCUUAAAAUUCUGCUGAGAAAGUUAGACUAGAUAGAUCACCGUCGUCGGACGUCCACAUUGCCUUUCAGUUACUAUGAAGGCCGUUCGCCUUCUCUUUUCCCUUAGACCAGUAGCUACCUCGCCUUCGCAUCGGUAGCGUUAUUCUCUUUGUCUUCAUCAUUAAUCACUAAAUCGAUGAACUCUGUCGCCACGCUAAGGCAAAGAAGCAAGGUUCUAUAUACAAAAAUCAGCCGAAAUUUACGUGGGAGUCUGCUAAUUUCUUUGGUACAGUUGAACGGCCCCUUAAAGUGAUUACUUGGAACUGUUGCACAGUUAUGGCUUGGACAAUUUUUCGUGCAAAGUCUCUCCAGAUUCUAACAGCAGUUUUAGGGACUUCCUCCAUGUCUUUCUUUGAGGGAAUUGAGAUGCGGAAAGAUGAAAUUAUUCUCAAGUAUUGGUUGAUGCUGAGUAUGACCCCCUGAUUCUAAAAGAACAGAAAACAGAACUGGUGGAGCUCAAAUUUAUUGAUUCAUUGUUUAUGCAAAUGGAGAAUCUGAAUGAACUAAAUGUUUUUGUUAUCUUGACCUUUUUUCUCCAGGAAUUAAUGUGCUUCAAUCUAUACGAUGGGAAAGGAAUCUCCAUUUUGUUUGUUGUUUGGAUUUCUUUUCUCAUACUUCAAGUUUUGAAGGUCUCUUUGCAGGACAAAAAGCACUUGAUGUUUUCAAUGGUCAAAUGCAAUGGUAUAUUUGUAUAUAUUUUUUACUUCAGUAGAGGUAGCUUGACAUUGAGUUUAGGGAAUCUGCUAAUGAACAGAGAUGGAGUGUGCAAAGCGAGAGGGCAAUAGUUACAGAAAUUGCUGGAACUACCAGGGAUGUAAUUGAAGCAAAUGUAACAGUUUCUGGCAUUCCUAUGACUCUUCUUGAGAUAGCUGGAAUUAGGGAAACAAAUGACAUUGUAGAAAAGAUUGGAAUCGUGCAGAGAAGUUCAAGUUGUAAUCAAUUAUUGGAAACCUCAGGCUUCGUGAAUUGAAACAGCUUGAUGAGUACUUUUGUAUGUUUAUUCAUUUUUGUGAAUGAUGUUCUGUAUUUAAUUGUUAGUCCUUGAAUUUGAGGUCGCUACAUUCACAAAUAUGAAUAUGUAUUUAGUGAAGGAACUUUCUGUUGUACGUAUACAUUGGUUAUUAAUCACGAUCUUAUAUAUUAUUUUUAUAUUUUUGAGUU
This is an RNA transcript of Cucumis melo (muskmelon), 1530 nucleotides long. RefSeq lists it as uncharacterized. Lineage: Eukaryota; Viridiplantae; Streptophyta; Magnoliopsida; Cucurbitales; Cucurbitaceae. The transcript is spliced from 8 exons. The record is from RefSeq and is a predicted model, not a curated record.